This 699-nucleotide ribosomal RNA is filed under the name uncultured Actinomycetales bacterium. RNAcentral's name for it is "bacterial SSU rRNA". It matches the Rfam family "Bacterial small subunit ribosomal RNA", at positions 48 to 760 of the family's 1533-position model. Lineage: Bacteria; Bacillati; Actinomycetota; Actinomycetes; Actinomycetales. The record is from RNAcentral.
UUAACACAUGCAAGUCGAACGGAAAGGCCCUGCUUGCAGGGUACUCGAGUGGCGAACGGGUGAGUAACACGUGGGUGAUCUGCCCUGCACUUCGGGAUAAGCCUGGGAAACUGGGUCUAAUACCGGAUAGGAGCCAUUUUUAGCGUGAUGGUUGGAAAGUUUUUUCGGUGUAGGAUGAGCUCGCGGCCUAUCAGCUUGUUGGUGGGGUAAUGGCCUACCAAGGCGGCGACGGGUAGCCGGCCUGAGAGGGUGGACGGCCACAUUGGGACUGAGAUACGGCCCAGACUCCUACGGGAGGCAGCAGUGGGGAAUAUUGCACAAUGGGCGCAAGCCUGAUGCAGCGACGCCGCGUGGGGGAUGACGGCCUUCGGGUUGUAAACUCCUUUCGCUAGGGACGAAGCUUUUUGUGACGGUACCUAGAUAAGAAGCACCGGCUAACUACGUGCCAGCAGCCGCGGUAAUACGUAGGGUGCGAGCGUUGUCCGGAAUUACUGGGCGUAAAGGGCUCGUAGGUGGUUUGUCGCGUCGUCUGUGAAAUUCCGGGGCUUAACUCCGGGCGUGCAGGCGAUACGGGCAUAACUUGAGUACUGUAGGGGUAACUGGAAUUCCUGGUGUAGCGGUGAAAUGCGCAGAUAUCAGGAGGAACACCGAUGGCGAAGGCAGGUUACUGGGCAGUUACUGACGCUGAGGAGCGAAAGC